GGUGGGGAGUUUGGGAGGGGCAACACCUGAUGCUUAUUGCAUUUGUUGAACAUUUUGUAUGUACCAGGCAUGGGACACAAGGCUUAUGUGCAUAAUCUUGUUUAAUAAGGCUCUUAAAACUCCCGUGGGAUAGGUACUCUAAAGGCCAUCUUGCUGAUGAGAAAUGUCAAGAGCAGAGAGGUAAUUAACUGUUGAGGGUGGUGCAGUGAGGGAGGUAGGAGCUCAACCUUAAGCACGGGUUUGUGUGACUCCUCCUCCCUGGGCUUCACCCCCUCCUGCAGACCAGAGCUGACCAGUGAGGCUACUGGAAGGCUGGAUGGGACUGCCGAAGAUGGAGGACUUGGCAGAGGUUAGAACACCAGCCCGGGAGGAAUGGGCACGGGCCAGGAGCGGAACAGACGCCUCCCUGAGGCUCACACAAAUGUCAGAUCUGGCGCUCCCCUUCACUGUGAGGAGCCGCUCCAGGAGGUGUGUGAAUGGCCCCUUGCAGGAAGCGGCCAGGAGGCGGCUGGAGAAUGAGGACCAGGAGGUGCGUGCGUGCGCUGUAAGGUGAUGUGAAAACCAAUGCCACAAUCAAGAAAGUCAUGCAAAAUAUUUUGUGCUUGUGUGAGUUUGUUAGCUGGACACUGUCAUCCCAGGCUGACCUCUCAGCCAGGUUGGUGGGUAUCCAGCCCCAGAAGGCCCAGUUCCUCAUCACUUUCAAAACCAUGGAGGAAAUCUGGAAGUUCUCCACUUACCUGAACUUAGGCUAUGUUUCUGUGUGUCUGGAGCAUCUCCUCUUUGACCACAAGUACUGGCUUAACUGGAGACUGGUGGAGGAUACAGAGAUUCAAGUGUCUGUAGAUGAUACACACCUGGAAACAAUAUACCUGGGACUCCUGAUACAGGAAGAUGGUUCCUAAAGAAUUAUCCAAGAAGCUGUGGCCUUUCCAGGAAGAGGAAUUGGACAGGCUCCUGUCAGAUCGAUCCUGUUUACCCACAAAGCAGUGGGAAUUGCUGAUCCUGAAGACACCAUCAAUAGAAAUGUGACCAAUAAUGCCAGAGAAAAAAAAGGUAGUAGGUCUAGCAGAAGAGCUAAAACAGAUAUGGAAGCUGAGGUGCAUAAGGGCUGACCGGCGCGGGGCCACCGGACAGAAGGGCCGGCCAGCGCAGGGUCAGUGGACAGAAGGGCUGACCAGCAGCUGAGAGACUUAAGUUCUAGACCCAGCUGUGUCACACAAACUCUUUGGACAAAUCACAGACUCUGUGCCUCCAGUUUCUAAUGUAUAAAAAACGUGGAUUCUAAGAGUUGCUCUACCUACCCUUUGGGGCUCCUGGGAGGAUCUAAGAAAACCAACUUAAAUCUAUUUUGUAUUUUGGACAAUACAAUGCUCAUGCUUAUGUCAUUACUAGAUCCUACUGGGCGACUUACCAAGCUGGGUGAUGACUGUCGUCAGAAGGAAGGUCUCCCAGACCCUUAGCAGUUUCCUGUAUACCAGGGAUAGGAGGCUAAUGUUUGCUGAGGGUUGAUUAGGUUCCAUGCUUUGUACACUUUAUCCCUUUGACUUUUCCUAAUAUUCAUGAGACAGGUAUUCUUAUUAUCUCCAUUUUACAUUUGGGGAGACUGAGGGUCAUGGUAGCCGAAGGAGCCGGACGGAAAUGGAGAGCACCCCCAGUAGGUCUCGUCCUGGUCCAAAGGUCUGCGAACCGUGACAAAGCGUCUGGCGAACCAGGUGAACUGGGGAAGCGAGUGAGCUUUCCGGUGUUCCCCUGGCUCCCUUUGCUCAGUGCUAGGGCAUAUCCAGCAUUCUGAGAUCAUCUCUCCUGCAUUCGUUAAAAAGCCUCUUUUGUUUUAUAAGAUGGUGAGAGCAGAUUGUAGUUCCAAUCUUUGAAUGUCCUUGUUUGGCAAAAUUAAAAGCCAAUUACCUGUGUCAUUCCUACCAUUUUUUUCUUUGGGCGAAGAUUUUACUGGUCCUUGAAAUUCUGAAGUCUGGGAACCUCGCGUUUCCUGUCACACUGGACGCUCAUGGAAGGCUCAGCUGUUUCUGCCUUACGUACUUGAUCUGUGUGCUCUCUCCCAACAGGCAGAAGAAAUUGUAAAACCUUAAGGGGACAUGAGAGGGAAGAAAAGGAUGAACUGAAUUUCCAACAGGGGGAAAGCAUCAAGAUCAUCGGCUUUGUGGUGCCUGGGCUUCAGUGGUUCAUCGGGAAGUCCGUGCACUCGGGGGAAGUGGGUUUCGUCCCCACCAGGGGCAUAGAUCCUGACUCUUAACUCCCCAGUGUAAUUAUGAUGGGGAGGCCUCUGGGAUGCCCUGGAGAGGGUCCUGCCCGAUCUGUGCAGGUUUGCAGAGGAGCUUCAGGGCCUCCCAGAAACAGGAGCCAGGUAGACGAAGGAGAGGAGGAUAAAUACUUCAUGUUAUUUCCUAAAUGCCAUCUCUACCCACCCAAUCUAAAUAACCAAUCAUUCUAUAUCAUAUUUGCUACUUCAGUUUUAAUAAUCCAGUUUUUUGGUUGAUAUUUCUAGUUUUACAAUGUUCUUUGGACUGCUUGUCAGAAGUUUAGUAUAUACAACAAUAAUUUUCAAAAUGUUUAACCUAUAUAUUUUCCAGGCAUUGCAGGGAUAUGUAAAAAAAAAGUCACAGGAAAACAAUACUUUUUAAAUGCUACUUAGUCUAUUUUCCACUCCAAACCUAAACUUCCUUAGAUAUCACAUAUCCUUUAAAAAUAUAUGGUAAACUGACUUUGUUUUACAAGCUGGCUUUAAGCCCUGGCUAAGGCACUUAGCAGCUGUGAAUCUGAGGAAACUAUUUAAUCUCUGAGAAUCUCACCUUUCUCACUUAUAAAAUAGAAAUAGUUUAAUUUAAAGCAUUUUGAGAAUAAUUAAAACCUGUGAGAAG
Manis pentadactyla (Chinese pangolin) is the source of this 2876-nucleotide long non-coding RNA. RefSeq lists it as uncharacterized. Lineage: Eukaryota; Metazoa; Chordata; Mammalia; Pholidota; Manidae. The transcript is spliced from 6 exons. The record is from RefSeq and is a predicted model, not a curated record.